Molecule: unclassified non-coding RNA, 783 nt
Filed under: Dermacentor andersoni
Lineage: Eukaryota; Metazoa; Arthropoda; Arachnida; Ixodida; Ixodidae
Description: uncharacterized LOC126522729
Source: RNAcentral
UUUCUAGCGCUCGCAGACGUUGGCCGUUCCGACAACGUGUCGUGAAGUUCGACCCACCGAUCAUGCCCACAGCGUCGACGAAUACACGGUUGGCCACGGUGUUCGUGGUGGCUGCCUUGCUAUGCGCGCGGACGUCGGGCCAGGGCAAUUCGUAUUCGGUCAGCAGCUUCCACCACGAGAGCUUCGGACCCGACGGCGUGGUGACGGGCCGCUCUGGCUACAAGGACUCGUCCGGCAAGAGCCGCUUCACGCAUUACCAGGUGGGCAAGGACGGCAGGCGUAAGUUCAUCCGCGACGACCCCGAGGGUGACAUCGAGUCCAGGAGCCUGCUGCCGGACCCGUCCAAGAUUGGCGUCGGCUUCCCCGGAGGAUUCCCCGGCUUCGGAGACCCGAAUUUCGAUUUCUUCAAGGCUCUGGGCUUCCCGAAGGACACCUUCUUCCCCACUUUCCCCAAGGACCUGCUGCCUCGUGACCUCCUGCCAUCCUCUGAUAACGGCGGAUCUGGAGGCUUCGGUCAGGGAGUGCAAGGUCGCAAGGGCAUCGGGAACAGCUUCCCCUGGUCUGCACGCCCUCGCUACUGAGACCACGGACAACUCCCUCCCGCAUGGACACAACCACAUGACAACGUGGUGACUCUCGAAAAAACCACGUCGACGACCAACUUCUUCGGUGGAGCUCUACUGCCACCGCUCAUCGCCACGCAAUACUUUUUUCCGCCUGACCUGCUUCCGCGAGAGCUGCAGACGACACCGUCCCCUGCAUCCGGCGAGGCCAAGCCAACUC